ACUUCGCCAUCUUGGAAUACGAUUUUUUUCUAUACCUAUUUGCACUGAAAUAGAGUUUUUACUAACAAUUCAUGAUAUAAAGGUGAAUUCAAGCCAUAAAAUGGAUGAUCGUGAAAAACCUGUGCCCUAAAGAAGCUGCCAGCGGACUCCAACUGUUUGAAGGAAUGCACUGAUACUCUUGGAGUCUCAAUUUAUCAUACGGAGUCAUCAAUAACCGGAGAUACAAUCAGGAAGGAUCGGGAGACAGCCUUAGGGAUCUUUGGCUGUAGCACUAGGAAAUAUGCCUGAUAUUAUCGGUUCAUAUUGACCCACUCCCCGCGAUUACUAAAAUAAUAGCUGUCGUUUAAAUAAAUACCGUAAUGACGUUUUCUUCUUAGUGCUGGAAAUCAGCGAGUGGAAUCACUACCUCCGUAAACAAAGCCAUAGUGCAUUCUGGUGACGUCAGCACAGGUAGGGCUCCUACACCAAUAAAAAUUUAUUGAUUUCAGCUGAUCUAUAUCAGCUAGUGUUUUUAUUGGUGUAGGAGCCCUACCUGUGCUGACGUCACCAUCAACCACCUGACAUGCACUAUGGCUUUUGUAAGGGUGGGAAAAUGAAAAACAAGAAAAGAUUGUACAGGUUUUUGAUAUUAAAAACAAAUCAAUAAAUUAUUUUAUUACGAAAUUAGAAUUGUAAUUAGAAUUUAUUACGAAAUAAUAAUCAGAUGAAUAUUUCAGGGGCUACUCGCUUUGCUGAUCUGUGGUCGCUUAGUCUAUGAUAAUAAAAAAUAAACAAAGAUUACUAUUUAGAAUUAUAGAUCUGAAAAAAAUUCAAAAAAAAAUGUACAAUUAACUAUUAUCUUACUUUACCUUUACAAGAGUCCCUUGGCCUGCUCUUCAAGGUCCAGUUAAAACACUCCCGAAUUUAAAUUUAAAAUAUAUAUAUA
RNAcentral lists this long non-coding RNA (925 nucleotides) under Nilaparvata lugens (brown planthopper). RNAcentral describes it as "uncharacterized LOC120353976, transcript variant X4". Lineage: Eukaryota; Metazoa; Arthropoda; Insecta; Hemiptera; Delphacidae. The record is from RNAcentral.